AGUGGAACCCUACAAAUUAUGUGAGGCAAUGAGAAAACUACGCGAAGACACAAAUUGUGAAAUUAGACAGUUUUCAAGUAAACUCAACUGUCUUUGUUUGAGAAUUCGUCGAAAACAUAAACAAGAGUUGUAUACUUUAAACUUAAUGAAAAAAUCCUACCUGUCAGGACAAGGACACAGAAAUUGGACAGAAUUGACAGAAAUUGACAAAAACAAGAGUGUUUCUUUAUAGAAUCGAAUAAGGUGGGCGAUACUACUUUUCGUAAAGUGGCAAUAACCACAAAUAU
This is a non-coding RNA of Paramuricea clavata, 287 nucleotides long. The record is from the annotation of a GenBank genome assembly. NCBI's taxonomy places the organism in Eukaryota, Metazoa, Cnidaria, Anthozoa, Malacalcyonacea, Plexauridae.